Molecule: ribosomal RNA, 559 nt
Filed under: bacterium tet-w-4
Lineage: Bacteria
Description: bacterial SSU rRNA
Rfam family: Bacterial small subunit ribosomal RNA
Source: RNAcentral
UACACAUGCAGUCGANGGUAACAGGAAGAAGCUUGCUUCUUUGCUGACGAGUGGCGGACGGGUGAGUAAUGUCUGGGAAACUGCCUGAUGGAGGGGGAUAACUACUGGAAACGGUAGCUAAUACCGCAUAACGUCGCAAGACCAAAGAGGGGGACCUUCGGGCCUCUUGCCAUCGGAUGUGCCCAGAUGGGAUUAGCUAGUAGGUGGGGUAAAGGCUCACCUAGGCGACGAUCCCUAGCUGGUCUGAGAGGAUGACCAGCCACACUGGAACUGAGACACGGUCCAGACUCCUACGGGAGGCAGCAGUGGGGAAUAUUGCACAAUGGGCGCAAGCCUGAUGCAGCCAUGCCGCGUGUAUGAAGAAGGCCUUCGGGUUGUAAAGUACUUUCAGCGGGGAGGAAGGGAGUAAAGUUAAUACCUUUGCUCAUUGACGUUACCCGCAGAAGAAGCACCGGCUAACUCCGUGCCAGCAGCCGCGGUAAUACGGAGGGUGCAAGCGUUAAUCGGAAUUACUGGGCGUAAAGCGCACGCAGGCGGUUUGUUAAGUCAGAUGUGAAAU